Molecule: transfer RNA, 74 nt
Filed under: uncultured Sphingomonadaceae bacterium
Lineage: Bacteria; Pseudomonadati; Pseudomonadota; Alphaproteobacteria; Sphingomonadales; Sphingomonadaceae
Also listed under: 1 other name
Description: tRNA-Cys-GCA
Rfam family: tRNA
About the family: Transfer RNA (tRNA) molecules are approximately 80 nucleotides in length. Their secondary structure includes four short double-helical elements and three loops (D, anti-codon, and T loops).
Source: RNAcentral
GGCCCGAUGGCGGAGUGGUGACGCAGAGGACUGCAAAUCCUCGCACGGGGGUUCGAUUCCCCCUCGGGCCUCCA